CCCUUAGAUGUCCUGGGCCGCACGCGCGCUACACUGAUGCAUGCAACGAGUUUAUAACCUUGGCCUGAAAGGUCUGGGUAAUCUUUUGAACGAGCAUCGUGAUAGGGAUAGAUUAUUGCAAUUGUUAAUCUUGAACGAGGAAUUCCUAGUAAACGCGAGUCAUCAGCUCGCAUUGAUUACGUCCCUGCCCUUUGUACACACCGCCCGUCGCACCUACCGAUUGAAUGGUUCGGUGAAGAUCUCGGACUUCGAUAUUUAUUCUUUAUUGAGUUUAUAUUGUGGGAAGUUAUCUAAACCUCAUCAUUUAGAGGAAGGUGAAGUCGUAAC
RNAcentral lists this ribosomal RNA (327 nucleotides) under uncultured eukaryote. Its description in RNAcentral is "partial 18S ribosomal RNA". It matches the Rfam family "Eukaryotic small subunit ribosomal RNA", at positions 1470 to 1795 of the family's 1831-position model. The record is from RNAcentral.